GGAUGUAGGGGCAGCCUGGCUGCGACAUCUAUCACCCCAUUGAUAGCCCGGGAUCGUUCAGCUGAUCUGGCCGGCUAGGCAGGUGUCCCCUUCCUCCCUCCCAUGUGUAUCCCUCCUGAAGCUGCAUGCUCAGUGGAAGAGGAAGAUAUUCCUUAAUAGGGUCCAUUCUUUGGUCAGGGGUGUACGAGUAUCUGUUCUUCCCUGCUACAACCUCCAAACAAGCUCUCAAGGUCCAUUUACAAGAGAACAUAGGAUAUUCAAGCUUCCAGACUCUAGUCACUGAAUUUUUUC
Molecule: unclassified non-coding RNA, 291 nt
Organism: Vicugna pacos (alpaca)
Lineage: Eukaryota; Metazoa; Chordata; Mammalia; Artiodactyla; Camelidae
Gene: 7SK
Rfam family: 7SK RNA
About the family: 7SK was discovered as an abundant small nuclear RNA in the mid-70s but a possible function has only recently been suggested. Two independent studies have found that 7SK RNA binds the CDK9/cyclin T complex (known as elongation factor P-TEFb).
Source: Ensembl